UAGCUCAAUUGGUAGAGUGCUUGCCUUGCAUGCACAAGGCCCUGGGUUCAAGCCCCAG
This 58-nucleotide transfer RNA is filed under the name Urocitellus parryii (Arctic ground squirrel). RNAcentral describes it as "Spermophilus parryii (Arctic ground squirrel) tRNA". It matches the Rfam family "tRNA", at positions 8 to 63 of the family's 71-position model. From Rfam's summary of the family: Transfer RNA (tRNA) molecules are approximately 80 nucleotides in length. Lineage: Eukaryota; Metazoa; Chordata; Mammalia; Rodentia; Sciuridae. The record is from Rfam by way of RNAcentral. RNAcentral also lists the same sequence under 1 other name.